Molecule: non-coding RNA, 202 nt
Organism: Brachypodium distachyon (stiff brome)
Lineage: Eukaryota; Viridiplantae; Streptophyta; Magnoliopsida; Poales; Poaceae
Source: Rfam
UAUAUACUCCCUCCGUCUAACAAAAGAUGUCUCGACUUUGAUUAAAUUUGAAUGCAUCUACUCCCUCCGUCCCGAAUUAACUGUCUUAUGCAAAUCCACGACAGUUAAUUCAGGACGGAGAGAAUAUACACUAAGUCAUGUCUAGAUACAUUCAAAUUUUGACAAAUUUGAGACAUCUUUUGUUGGACUGAGGGAGUACAAG